CCUACGGGGUGCACCAGUGGGGAAUAUUGCACAAUGGGCGCAAGCCUGAUGCAGCCAUGCCGCGUGUAUGAAGAAGGCCUUCGGGUUGUAAAGUACUUUCAGCGGGGAGGAAGGUGUUGUGGUUAAUAACCACAGCAAUUGACGUUACCCGCAGAAGAAGCACCGGCUAACUCCGUGCCAGCAGCCGCGGUAAUACGGAGGGUGCAAGCGUUAAUCGGAAUUACUGGGCGUAAAACGCACGCAGGCGGUCUGUCAAGUCGGAUGUGAAAUCCCCGGGCUCAACCUGGGAACUGCAUUCGAAACUGGCAGGCUAGAGUCUUGUAGAGGGGGGUAGAAUUCCAGGUGUAGCGGUGAAAUGCGUAGAGAUCCGGAGGAAUACCGGUGGCGAAGGCGGCCCCCUGGACAAAGACUGACGCUCAGAUGCGAAAGCGUGGGGAGCAAACAGGAUUAGAUACCCGCGGUAGUC
This 466-nucleotide ribosomal RNA is filed under the name uncultured bacterium. Its description in RNAcentral is "bacterial SSU rRNA". It matches the Rfam family "Bacterial small subunit ribosomal RNA", at positions 338 to 795 of the family's 1533-position model. The record is from RNAcentral.